CCUUUGACGUUGCUCAGUGACAAGGAGCGCUCCUGGUCCGCCAGCCCAGGCCCCAGCCGGCCACUGCCACCACUGUCCUUCUGCCGGGCCACGGCCACUGCGAUGCCCACGGGCGGGUGUCGCACCUCUGCUUCGCCCUGGGCUCCAGAGCCCUCGCGCCCGAAGGCCUUGGCGCUCUCGGGCCUCUCCGGGUCCCGCUUCAGCUGCCGGCCCCCGGUCCCCGUGGGGCCGCCGGGGUGGGGGAGGCGGGCCUGAGCGCGCGGGGCGCCCGCGGCCGUGGGGACGGGCUCGGGUUUCAUGGUGCCCAGGCCUCCGAAGGGACUCUUCUUGCCACAGCCGCCAGGGCGCACGGCCACGGCCUCGCGCGCAAAGCUGCCGCUGUACUUGAUGAGGCUCUGCAUGGCCGACGCCUCUCCGGGCCCGUGCGCCGCAGGGUGCAGCUCGGCGCCCGGCCUGGCGCAGGUGGCCGCAGCGCGGGGCAGCGUGGCCCCGGGGUCCAGGUAGGCCUUCUUGGCGGCGGCGGCGGCCUCCUCCUCUGCGCGGCUGGCGUGGUGGUGCUGUGCGGCCAGCACGGCCAUCUGCGUGGUGGCGAAGUUGCCCAGCUCGAAAGGUUUCCACUUGGGUUCAGGCGCGGCGGGCGGGGGCGGUCGCCCGGGCUCCAGGCCGAAGAGCUUGGCGGCCUGCUGGGAGGCGGUGGCGGCGGGGGGGCCGCGCGGGACACGCUCGCAGGGCCGCGGCUCGGCCUCGGGCUUGAGCAGCUCCUUGGCGGGGAGGUAGGCCCGGGGGUCGGGGGAGGAGGCGCGCGCGGCCCGUGCCGGCGGGGCCUCGGCGGGCUGCGGCCGCUUGAGCGAGCGGAUCACCGAGCUCUUCUCGGGCCGUUCCGGGGGUGGCCGCGGGGACCCGGGUGGCGCCUGCAGGACGCCGGGCCUGGCCACCUCGCGCUCCCGGGCGCGGGCAUCGCGUGCCUGCGACGCGAUCUGGAUGGGCCCAGGGCGCUCGUCGAAGGCCUCCACGGAAGGCACGAAGGUGGGCGCCACCACGCGAUGCUCGCGGCCCGGCUCGCGCGCCGCCGCCGUGGGGAAGAUGGUGUAGACGCCGGCGGACGCGGGCUGCGGCGCGGCGAAGGGAAGGCCGGCUGCGGGGGGGGGGGCGCGGGAGGGGCCCUUGCCGGGGGGCGGCGGGGGCGGGGGCGGCAGCGGCGAGGGGCACGGGCACGGCCCGGGCAGCAGGGCCUCCGCGCGCCGCGAAGCCGCGCGCUCUCGUCCUGGCGCGCCGCCUCCUUGGCCACCAAGCGCGGGGAGCCCCGCGUCGGCCGCCCCCGUUGCAGAGGCUCAGCGCCGGCGGCGGCGGCAGCAGGUUCUUGCCCUUGGACUCAGCGGGGCCUGUGCCCGGCGCCCGCGGUGGCCCCGGCUCGGCCAGGAAGGGCGACAGGCGCUCGGCGAGGCGCGGGGGCCCGCGGUCCUGGCGGCCCUCGGCGCGCGCCUCCUGGGUCAGGUCCACCACACCGCGGCGGCCGGCCCGCGUCCUCGCGGGCCCGCGGGUCCUUCUUGCCGAACAGCGGGGGCGGCUCCCCGCCGCGGCCCGCGCGCUCCUUGGCUGCACCUUCCCUCGACGAGCCUUUGGCUUGGGUGCCGGAGGAGUGGCCGCCCGGGGUCCUGGAGGAGGGCGCGUGGGAGUGCAGGGCGCCCGCAGCCCCCGGGCCGGGCAGGUAGAAGCCGUC
Equus asinus (donkey) is the source of this 1720-nucleotide long non-coding RNA. NCBI's taxonomy places the organism in Eukaryota, Metazoa, Chordata, Mammalia, Perissodactyla, Equidae. The record is from Ensembl.